This 253-nucleotide ribosomal RNA is filed under the name uncultured bacterium. RNAcentral's name for it is "partial 16S ribosomal RNA". It matches the Rfam family "Archaeal small subunit ribosomal RNA", at positions 474 to 727 of the family's 1478-position model. The record is from RNAcentral.
UACCAGCACCCCGAGUGGUCGGGACGAUUAUUGGGCCUAAAGCAUCCGUAGCCGGUCCUGCAAGUCUUCCGUUAAAUCCAACUGCUCAACAGGUGGGCUGCGGAGGAUACUACAGAGCUAGGAGGCAGGAGAGGCAAGCGGUACUCAGUGGGUAGGGGUAAAAUCCGUUGAUCCAUUGAAGACCACCAGUGGCGAAGGCGGCUUGCCAGAAUGCGCUCGACGGUGAGGGAUGAAAGCUGGGGGAGCAAACCGG